Molecule: ribosomal RNA, 483 nt
Filed under: uncultured bacterium
Lineage: Bacteria
Description: bacterial SSU rRNA
Rfam family: Bacterial small subunit ribosomal RNA
Source: RNAcentral
CUACGUGCCAGCAGCCGCGGUAAUACGGAAGGUCCAGGCGUUAUCCGGAUUUAUUGGGUUUAAAGGGUGCGUAGGCCGUUUGAUAAGCGUGCUGUGAAAUAUAGUGGCUCAACCUCUAUCGUGCAGCGCGAACUGUUGAACUUGAGUGCGUAGUAGGUAGGCGGAAUUCGUGGUGUAGCGGUGAAAUGCUUAGAUAUCACGAAGAACUCCGAUUGCGAAGGCAGCUUACCGUAACGUUACUGACGCUUAAGCACGAAGGUGCGGGUAUCGAACAGGAUUAGAUACCCUGGUAGUCCACACCGUAAACGAUGUACACUAGGUGUUGGGGUACGAACCUCAGUGCCGAAGCAAACGUGAUAAGUGUACCGCCUGGGGAGUAUGCCCGCAAGGGUGAAACUCAAAGGAAUUGACGGGGGCCCGCACAAGCGGUGGAGCAUGUGGUUUAAUUCGAUGGUACGCGAGGAACCUUACCUGGGUUUGACA